Long non-coding RNA from Nicotiana tabacum (common tobacco), 393 nucleotides. RefSeq lists it as uncharacterized. The record is from RefSeq and is a predicted model, not a curated record. Lineage: Eukaryota; Viridiplantae; Streptophyta; Magnoliopsida; Solanales; Solanaceae.
UUUCCCCCACUAACGUCAAUACAUCCAAAGCGAAGCCACAAAAUAAGGCUCAAUCAGAUACCCCAAAUAAGGCUCCUAUUCUCUUUCAUUUUGAACACAGAGGAUAAAACUCCCCAACCCAGAUGCUCUCCCCAAAUCCCUAAAUCCAACGUCAGUGAUUUUUGCUAUAGUUUAUAAAAUUACCAAGAACGUCGUUACACGAAUUCAACGUCUCAACCCCGAUUUGAGACUUGAUCCUCACAUACUAAUCUUCUGUGCUCGUGCACCUGGAGAAGCUUCCUCUCCACACCAAGCUGAUAUUCAACCAAUCAAUUUUCCAUCUGAUGGUAGUAACAAUCAAGGUCGAGAGUCCUCCAAAUAGGCUAUCAGCUCAGCGGAAGGUUUUGCUGCGCU